CAUGCAAGUCGAGCGAUGAGGCCCCUUCGGGGGUACAUCAGCGGCGGACGGGUGAGUAACGCGUGGGUAACCUACCCUUGAGUUGGGGAUAACUCCGCGAAAGCGGGGCUAACACCGAAUAAUAUUCUGAUUUCCACGGGAGUUGGAAUCAAAGGUGGCCUCUGCGUGCAAGCUAUCGCUUAAGGAUGGGCCCGCGUACCAUUAGCUAGUUGGUAGGGUAAUAGCCUACCAAGGCAACGAUGGUUAGCUGGUCUGAGAGGAUGGCCAGCCACACUGGAACUGAGACACGGUCCAGACUCCUACGGGAGGCAGCAGUGGGGAAUCUUGCGCAAUGGGGGAAACCCUGACGCAGCAACGCCGCGUGGGUGAUGAAGGCCUUCGGGUCGUAAAGCCCUGUCAGGUGGGAAGAAAAAUAUCGGUGCGAAUAGCGCCGUACUUGACG
This 442-nucleotide ribosomal RNA is filed under the name uncultured bacterium. RNAcentral's name for it is "bacterial SSU rRNA". It matches the Rfam family "Bacterial small subunit ribosomal RNA", at positions 54 to 474 of the family's 1533-position model. The record is from RNAcentral.